This 496-nucleotide ribosomal RNA is filed under the name uncultured bacterium. Its description in RNAcentral is "partial 16S ribosomal RNA". It matches the Rfam family "Bacterial small subunit ribosomal RNA", at positions 28 to 506 of the family's 1533-position model. The record is from RNAcentral.
GAUGAACGCUGGCGGCGUGCCUAAUACAUGCAAGUCGAGCGAACAGAUAAGGAGCUUGCUCCUUUGACGUUAGCGGCGGACGGGUGAGUAACACGUGGAUAACCUACCUAUAAGACUGGGAUAACUUCGGGAAACCGGAGCUAAUACCGGAUAACAUAUUGAACCGCAUGGUUCAAUAGUGAAAGGCGGCUUUGCUGUCACUUAUAGAUGGAUCCGCGCCGUGUUAGCUAGUUGGUAAGGUAACGGCUUACCAAGGCAACGAUACGUAGCCGACCUGAGAGGGUGAUCGGCCACACUGGAACUGAGACACGGUCCAGACUCCUACGGGAGGCAGCAGUAGGGAAUCUUCCGCAAUGGGCGAAAGCCUGACGGAGCAACGCCGCGUGAGUGAUGAAGGUCUUCGGAUCGUAAAACUCUGUUAUCAGGGAAGAACAAAUGUGUAAGUAACUGUGCACAUCUUGACGGUACCUGAUCAGAAAGCCACGGCUAACUACGU